CAGUAGCCACGGGAAUACGAAGGGGGCUAGCGUUGCUCGGAAUUACUGGGCGUAAAGGGAGCGUAGGCGGAUCGUUAAGUUGGGGGUGAAAGCCCGGGGCUCAACCUCGGAACUGCCUUCAAUACUGGCGAUCUUGAGUAUGAGAGAGGUGAGUGGAACUCCGAGUGUAGAGGUGAAAUUCGUAGAUAUUCGGAAGAACACCAGUGGCGAAGGCGACUCACUGGCUCAUUACUGACGCUGAGGCUCGAAAGCGUGGGGAGCAAACAGGAUUAGAUACCCCAGUAGUCCCUGUCUCUUAUAA
RNAcentral lists this ribosomal RNA (301 nucleotides) under uncultured bacterium. RNAcentral describes it as "partial 16S ribosomal RNA". It matches the Rfam family "Bacterial small subunit ribosomal RNA", at positions 509 to 809 of the family's 1533-position model. The record is from RNAcentral.